Molecule: RNA transcript, 2112 nt
Organism: Prosopis cineraria
Lineage: Eukaryota; Viridiplantae; Streptophyta; Magnoliopsida; Fabales; Fabaceae
Gene name: mitogen-activated protein kinase homolog MMK2-like
Exons: 6
Source: RefSeq, a predicted model, not a curated record
CGGAUGACGCGCAGGUGAAAGCUUUAUAUAUACUGAACAUUUAACGAGAUUGACAAUUUCAGUACCACUUCGAUAAUUCUAACUCUAUGAUGAGUAUGAGAAAUAUAGGGAAGUUUUUUGAAUUUUCAGUUAUAUAUAGACGUUUUUUAAAUUUUAAAAACCUGCAUUUUUUUUUGGGUGAAAUGAAAUAUUUUUUAAAAAAAUUGAAAUUGUGUGAGAAAUUUGUUGUCACUGAUAAGUCUAUUGUUUCACAAGUAGAAGUGUGACAUGUCACAAAUUCUGAGUAAGAAAUUGAUUACAUGGGAUGAUACUAUUUCAAAGAGAAAUAUGGAAUGUGAACGGAAGAAUAUGUGUUGGUUAGUUUUCCGCAUCAAAAGAAAGAAAUCAAACUCGUUUUCAUGUUGUUCUUACUAGUCAACGCUACAUUCUAGAGUUCCUAAAUUCCAAUUCUAAUAUUUGACUUUGACUAAAGGUAAUACAAAGGUCCAGUAUGGACUUUGACUCCUGGGAAGAUCAAAUUUAAAAUAAAAUAAGGGAAUGCUAUUGUUACAUCAAUUUUUAAUACAUAACCCCAUUGAGCUUUUACCUUAUAUGAAUAAUAAUAAAUGUGUUGAUCAAGGAAAUUAAAAAUUAACAAAGGAAAUAAAUUCAUCGAUCUUUUUCUUUCAUAUUAUUAUUUUUUAAGGUACAUAAUCAUGCAUCGAAUUAAACCAAAAGCAUUUAAUUUAGUAAACAAAAUCUUUCAGAUAAAGAGAAGUGAAAAAGAAACAUCAAGUUAAUUUCUUCACGAGCCACCCAAGCAUUCCCGGUCCAAAAGCUUCCUUCAAAGUUUUCACACAUACGCGUUCAGCUGUUCCCUCUCCCCAGAAACCCAAAAAGAAAUGUCAAAAUCCCUCCUUAAAUCUACCAACAGGCCCUCUCCAAAUUCAGCACCUCCUCUCCCGGUUUGGUUACUUUCCAUCUGAUAUUUUGCUUUCUUAGGUUCUUCCCAUUUCGAAAUCGAACCUCUCACGCAGCGUUCUAAAGACAUGUCUGCUGAAUCACUCUCUGCUUCAGCUGAGCACAACAUCAAAGGGUUGGCCACUUAUGGUGGACGAUACAUUCAGUACAAUGUGUACGGAAACCUAUUUGAGGUUUCGAGAAAGUAUGUUCCUCCUCUUCGGCCUGUGGGCAGAGGCGCUUACGGUAUUGUUUGUGCUGCUGUAAAUGCUGAGACACGUGAGGAAGUUGCAAUUAAGAAGGUUGGCAAUGCAUUUGACAACAGAAUAGAUGCCAAGAGGACCUUACGUGAAAUUAAACUGCUUCGGCACAUGGAUCAUGAAAAUGUCAUAGCCCUCAAAGACAUCAUUCGACCUCCACAGAAGGAGAAUUUCAAUGAUGUAUACAUUGUAUACGAGUUAAUGGACACUGAUCUGCACCAGAUAAUACGUUCCAAUCAACCAUUGACUGAUGAUCAUUGUCGGUAUUUUCUGUAUCAGUUGUUACGAGGACUCAAAUAUGUACAUUCAGCAAAUGUUUUGCAUCGUGAUUUAAAGCCCAGCAAUUUGCUCUUGAAUGCCAAUUGUGACCUCAAGAUUGGAGACUUUGGGCUUGCCAGAACUACAUCUGAAACUGAUUUUAUGACUGAGUAUGUAGUUACUCGGUGGUACCGAGCUCCAGAAUUGCUGCUCAAUUGUUCGGAAUAUACUGCAGCCAUCGACAUAUGGUCUGUUGGUUGCAUCCUUGGUGAAAUUAUGACAAGACAACCCCUCUUCCCUGGCAAAGAUUAUGUACAUCAGCUGAGACUAAUCACAGAGGUUCACCUGAUGAUGCUAGCCUUGGGUUUUUACGAAGUGAUAAUGCUCGUAGAUAUGUAAGACAGCUUCCACAAUAUCCCAGACGACAUUUUUCUGCUAGAUUUCCCCACAUGUCUCCAGGUGCUGUUGAUUUGCUGGAGAAGAUGCUUGUCUUUGAUCCUAACAGGCGCAUUACAGUUGAUGAGGCUCUUUGCCAUCCCUACUUGGCACCUCUCCAUGAUAUAAAUGGGGAACCCGUUUGCCCCAGACCUUUCAGUUUUGAUUUUGAGCAGCCGUCAUUUACUGAAGAAGACGUCAAGGAACUAAUCUGGAGAGA